Molecule: unclassified non-coding RNA, 3040 nt
Filed under: Hevea brasiliensis (rubber tree)
Lineage: Eukaryota; Viridiplantae; Streptophyta; Magnoliopsida; Malpighiales; Euphorbiaceae
Source: RNAcentral
GUUUUGUUAGUAUAGGAGUGGGCUCGGCAUGGUUGCAUGAGAUUGUGAAGUUAUUUUCCAUUGUUUUUUAUGUUGAUAUUUUUCAUUUGCAGCCUCAAAUUAGCUUCAAUGUUACUAUAAUUUUUCUUUUUCCAGGUUAUUGAAGAUCCGGACUUAUCUAGGAGAUCUUCGAAGUUUUGUGUUGCAUGAAGCAGAUGAACUUAAGCUCGACGCAUUAUCAUCAAAAGCAGAUGAAGGGAUCUCAUUUCAGUUACCCUGAGAGUUUCCCAUUUCAGGACAAACAAUAAUAUUGGUCACUGAUGGUGUAGUCUUGAGAGCAUUUCACAAAUUUGCUACUCCAACAGUGGAAUUGCCAGGGAAGAUUCAGAAUGCAUCUAUAAACAUCUUUCAAAUAGCUGGUGAGGAAGGGUGGACCAUCAAAACCUGGGGUGACGUUGGCCCUCUAGAACCUGAGUGAGUGAUUGAAUUGCCAGGCAAGAUUCAGAAUGCAUCUCCCAUUGAAACAUAGUGUCCAUGCCAACCAUAAGAAAUAAAAAUGCAAUGCCGUUAGCGUUGCUUGGGAUAAGGUGAGUUUUUUAGACCUCCUAUGAUUGCCGCUUUGGAAGAAUCCUGAUUUCGUCAAAAGAACGGUGGAUAUUUGUCCCAAGUCCCAACAACUGUUCGCUCAUCAAACAGUCGAUUAAACCUCUCUCAUGUCUAUAUUUUAUAUUAUCACUUACAGUCAACUCGAUGAUUUUCUCAGUUCCAGCCACUUUCACUCGCUUAUCUGCUCCAUCUUAUUCUCAUUCUUGUAGUCUCUUCAAAUUUAGCCAUAUUCGUGUAAUCACCGGUACCAUCUUCCCCAAGAGGCAGCAUCAUCGUAGCUGUAGAACGAUGGCUUCUUCAGUACAGCCAGUAGAAUCAGCUGCUAGACAAGAUAAAGUCACUGCUCCUUACGGCUCUUGGAAGUCUCCAAUCACCGCCGAUAUCGUCUCUGGCGCAUCCAAGCGACUCGACGGCACCGCCAUUGACGGCCGCGGUCGCCUUUUCUGGCUUGAAUCCCGACCCACUGAAGCUGGGCGAUCGGUUCUGGUUAAGGGAGAAGAGAAAGCUGGAGAGGAAGCUAUCGAUGUCACCCCGAAAGAAUUUUCGGUGCGAACUACUGCCCAGGAGUAUGGAGGAGGCGCGUUUACGAUAUCAGGGGAUACUGUCAUCUUCGCAAAUUACAAGGACCAAAGACUGUACAAGCAAUCUGUCGAUUCCAUAGAUUCUACUCCUGUUCCAAUUACACCUGAUUGUGGCUCACCAGUUGUCUCUUAUGCCGAUGGAGUCUUUGAUUCACGCUUUAACCGUUUUGUCACUGUAAUGGAAGAUCGCCGUGUAAGCAGCAUAAAUGCAAUUACAACGAUUGUAGCAAUUGGUCUCAAUGAUGCGUCAAUAGAGGAACCAAAAGUAUUAGUUAGUGGCAAUGACUUCUAUGCAUUCCCUCGUGUGGACCCGAAAGGUGAACGGAUAGCAUGGAUAGAAUGGUGUCACCCUAACAUGCCAUGGGAUAAAUCGGAACUCUGGGUUGGCUAUAUUUCUGAGAAUGGAGAUAUCUAUAAACACACCUGUGUUGCUGGCAAUGAUAAUACAAUUGUUGAAUCUCCAACUGAACCCAAGUGGUCCUCUACAGGGGAGUUAUUCUUUAUCACUGACAGAAAAAAUGGAUUUUGGAAUCUAUACAAAUGGAUUGAAUCUGUAAAUGAUGUGCAAGCACUCUAUUCCUUGGAUGCUGAGUUCUCAAGACCAUUAUGGGUAUUCGGCAUAAACUCUUAUGAGCUUAUUCAGAACAAAGAGGGAAAGAACUUAAUUGCUUGCAGCUACAGGCAGAAGGGUAGAUCCUAUCUUGGUAUUCUGGACUGUGCUCAAAGCUCACUUUCUCUGCUUGAUAUUCCCUUCACAGACAUAGAUAAUAUUACUUCAGGGCACCAUUGUCUAUACGUUGAGGGCGCAUCUGCAGUUCAUCCAUCAUCAGUGGCUAAGGUGAAUUUGGAUGACCAAGGAUCCAAAGUAGUUGAUUUCAAGGUUGUUUGGUCAUCAUCACCCGAUAGUUUAAAGUAUACGUCAUAUUUCAGCUUGCCAGAGCUGAUUGAAUUCCCUACUGGAGUUCCUGGUCAAAAUGCAUAUGCAUACUUUUAUCCACCUUUGAAUCCCAUUUACCAUGCUAGUCCAGAAGAAAAGCCUCCAUUGUUGUUGAAAAGUCAUGGAGGACCUACAAGUGAAACGCGCGGAAUUUUGAAUCUGAGUAUCCAGUAUUGGACAAGUCGUGGAUGGGCUUUUGUGGAUGUAAAUUAUGGUGGAAGCACUGGUUAUGGUAGAGAAUAUCGAGAACGCUUAUUAGGAAACUGGGGAAUUGUUGAUGUUAAUGACUGUUGCAGUUGUGCAAAAUUUUUGGUGGAUAGUGGAAAGGCAGAUGGUGGCCGACUGUGUAUAACUGGUGGCUCAGCCGGCGGUUAUACAACCUUAGCUGCCCUUGCUUUUAAAGAAACAUUUAAGGCUGGAGCUUCAUUGUAUGGUGUGGCUGACUUAAGCAUGUUAAGAGCAGAAACUCACAAAUUUGAGUCUCAUUACCUUGAUAAUCUUAUUGGUGAUGAAAAGGAUUACUAUGAGAGGUCUCCAAUAAAUUUUGUUGAUAGAUUUUCUUGCCCCAUAAUUUUGUUCCAAGGAUUAGAAGAUAAGGUUGUACCCCCUGAUCAAGCUCGUACAAUAUACCAGGCACUGAAGAAGAAGGGUUUGCCAGUUGCUCUUGUUGAGUAUGAAGGGGAACAGCAUGGUUUUCGUAAGGCUGAAAAUAUUAAAUUUACGCUGGAACAAGAAAUGGUGUUUUUUGCACGAUUGGUUGGAAACUUCAAUGUUGCAGAUGAGAUUAAUCCAAUCAAAAUUGACAAUUUUGACUGAUCAUGUAUCAAGGAACUUAAGGGAUUUGCUCUUAUAAUUUGACAGCAAUAAAUUGAAUGAACUUGACGAGUUCAUGGCCACUAGCUUGGGCAAUAUCUUACAUUUUCUUUUCUUGCGCUCU